This is a long non-coding RNA of Camelus dromedarius (Arabian camel), 4834 nucleotides long. RefSeq lists it as uncharacterized. The transcript has 2 exons. NCBI's taxonomy places the organism in Eukaryota, Metazoa, Chordata, Mammalia, Artiodactyla, Camelidae. The record is from RefSeq and is a predicted model, not a curated record.
GCUCUUCAAUACCUCACUUCCAAUUUUUUUAGGUAUAUAUCCAGAAGUGAAAUUGCUAGAUCAUAUGUUAAUUCUAUUUUUAAUUUUUUGAGGAACCGUCUCAAAAAUACUGUUUUCUGUAGCAACUGCAUUUGGAGAACAUCUUCCUGCAAUGCUUUACUGUUCCUUUUGACCACGACUGAGUAGGGUGGUUGUUAUUUCUUAGCUUCCAACCUCACAGGGAAACUCCAGAAGAAAUUUAAACUUCUCCUUGUGCUCUGGAACCUAGCUGGUCAGUGUGAAUGACACGUUUCUGAUCAGAAUGUUUGGCCCCUGGUGAUCUUGCCCCAGCUUCCUGUUGACUGCGAGCCCGUGAGCACAUUCUCUACAGGACGACCCUCGUUAUCAGCAAAUGCUUGUCCUGUCCCAUAAAUCCAGUUCGUCUUAAUAAAUUCCCAGUCGUCCUCCCCCAGAGCCCCUGGCCCCCUUAUCUCACUCCUCUCUGCCAAGCCCUUUGCAAUUUAUGUGUUUGCUUUUCGAUUCUGCUUUCAGCCCCAUUCCAAGUUUCCUCUUUCCCACCAGGUCACAGCGGCCUUUGUGUCUCAUAUAAAUUUAGUCUUCUCUGUCUGGGACUUUUUCUUGUUCACGGGGCCUACAUGGCUUCUCUCCCUGGCACCAGCCUUUCAAUCUCUGGCCUUCCUACCUAAAGCAAUUUGUCAAGAUCAUGUCCUUGCGAUUUGUGGCUUAUGAGUUUUCCUUCUCUGUGUUCCUUUCACACGGUUUUUUUGCUAGUUUGUAGGCAUGUGUUCCAACUUUGUGGCCGUUUGCUGGAGGAGACAGACUGCAUCCCCGCCUGUCCCCACAGCACACAGAGUGUGCACUCACUGAGAGCUAUAGCUCUGUUCUGGAGAAAGCUUGACUGUAGCUUGGCGUAACCAUAAUUCACCUGGACUGGAAGGACCACUUCGUCUUACAGAUGAAGCAGCUCUUAGGUCGGCUAAUGUGAACUCAGACCCACAUCCUCAUUAACCCCCUGUUGUCACCACUGAGAAACCCACCCGGGGAGCAAUAAUGCAUAUUCCCAGCAGUAGCCAAGAAGGCCCCUAAAGAAGAGACCUGCUUCUCCACCCAAUACCUCAGAAGUCUGCAAGGUGUAGAGACUGUGACCCCAGGACUCAAGGGACCGGCCCACUGUCACCAAGUUCUAACUCCAAAUACAGUCCUCUGUCUACCAUCAGUUCCUGGCUCAUUCUGGAAGGACUGUCUGCCCCUCCCCUCUCUGUGACCUUUCCCACACUCAUUUCGGAGUCUGUGUCUAUGUCGUCCAGUCGCCCAGAGACGGACGAGACGGUUUCCCCCACGUCUGGAAGCACUCACUGCUGGCCCCACUCCAGACACUGUCCACUCAACAGACCUUUCAGGCUUCGCCAUCAGUACAGCACUGAGCUGAUGGCAGCGGGAGACACCGCCCCUCCCUCCCCUCAAAAGUAUCCCUCAUGUCUCUUUUCCUAAAGAAAUUUGGUGUCUAGUUUAGAAGAAAAACACAAACACGGGUCAAGUUGCACAAGAAUGCCAGGGAAUGAGUGGCUGAAUACUACACGUUGAACAGACAACCUGAAGCCACGAGUUGGGUAGAAUCAUGAGCCCAUGAAGGCAGAGGAGGCUUCCGGGAGGAGGCAGGAGUUGACACAGUCUUAAAUAAUGAGGAGAUGAGGAGGAAGAGAGAACCGUCUGCCCAGCAAGAACAGGAGAGAAAGAAGACAUUGGAGUGGAAUGGUGGGCCACGGGUUUUGAAGGGACAGGGACCAAGUGACUUUUGGAAUGCAAGAUAAAGGUGAGUAAAGAGAUUCAAGCUUCGAGUCUGGUUUCAGGUCUGCCGGUAGCAGGAACUGGGAAGGUAGAGGAUGAGCAGUGAUUUCUCAGAACUAGAAAGACAGACUCAAAACCAUCUUUCCGUUUACUCAUAUGUAUGAGGUGCUCUGCUAGCUUCUUGGGGGUGAAAGGAAACAUAAGACGCGGCUUUGUCCUCAGAGAAUUCAGAGUAGUAAGGAGCCUGUCAAGAAAUAAAACAGUGAGCUGCAAAUCAAGAGAGCAAUGGACAUAGCGCUAUGGAAACUGCAGAAAGUGAAGGGUCCAAGAAGACCCCACAGAGGAAGGGACAGGUGACCCAACUGUCAAAAAGGUUUUCCAGACUGAUAAGACGGAGACUAGGACGUCAGAGGGAAAACCAUGUGCAAAGGAAUGGAACCACAGAGAAAUCGUGCAAACUUGGGAAACCACAAAUAACUUUUUUAUAGCAACAGUGUACAGCUGUAGUUCCCAAACUGUGUGCUAAGGCACUCGAAGGUGCCACAAUGAAUUCACAGGGGUUCCUGGGAUAUUUUAACUAUUCACGGGGAACACAGCGACAUCUGUUGGUCACGGCGAGAACUACUUUCAAUUUGUGUGUAUUCUUUUUUCAAACGUCUACUCAGUUGUUAGAACGUGAAUACUUACUAAGUUGUUUGGACAUAACUGCUUAAAAAUGACACUGCCGGGUACUUCUUUUGGCCUUAGGGGGCCAUGAAAGAUUCCUGAGUCACUAAGUGCCAUGAAUUGAGAAAGUCUGGGAACCUGGGUGUUAGAAGAGCGGGACGGGGAGAGAGGUCCUGCAGGCUCCCUGUUACAGUCAAGAAGCUUGGGCUUUUUGCUGCAAACAGUGGAAAGCCAUUAGAGGUUGACUGGUAGUGGGACAACGUGGUCAGCUUUUGUUUUAUGAAAGUAGAUUCGGCCUUGAUGGGGGUGUUGGUUUGGAAGCAGAGAGCUCUACUGGGAGCUAGCGCAGUAGUUCUGCUGAGAGAGGUGGGGCCUGGGCCCUUGGUGUCAGAGGUUGGGCCUGGAAUACAGCACGCUCCAUUAACAUUACAGAGCUCCUGCUGUGCGCCCAACACUGUGGCACCUGUUAGACAUCAAAGUUAAAAAAAGACGUGAUCCCUUUUUAAAGCACUCACAAUCAAAUAAAAAGGCAGCCAAGGAAACAAUUAGAAUUAGUGGAGAACUGCCAGGAGUUAACCAGGCAAGAGAAAAAGAAAGGCUGUUCCAGGAAAGCAGGGGGAACAGCAUGUGCAAAGGCCCACGUGAAGAUGGGAGGUGAUGGAGAGUUUCAGUAAAGCAGCUUGAUCAUCAAUACUGGCUCUUGGGUGGUGGGGAAAAGGGAGGGAUGUGUCCGAAAAGCAAGGCAGGGGCUCAGUUAUGAAGGACAUUGUAGGACAUGCUAAAGACUCCCAAAGGCCUUGAUGGAGACAAACCAAUGAGGGGUGUUAAGUGAGGAGUGGUACGAUCAGAUUUACAUUCUACAAAGUCCUGCGUGGAUACACUGAGCCAGGGCCCACAUAUAGACAAGCAGCAGGUCAGGAGGAUAGGCCAGAGUGAGGAAGGCAUAAAUCUGAGUGGAAGGUCCAAAGUCUAGCCAGGGAGUGAAGGAUCAGAGACUCCACCAGUACCUGAGGGCAUGAGAAAGGAGCUGACCAGGCAUGGCAGAGAGGGAAAGGGCUGAUAGAAGUCUCACUCAGGCCACGAGGCUCUGGAAGGGUCUGUGAGUUCAGGGUCAGCCCCCACGCAUGAGUGCCCUGAGGCUCCCCUGUGCAGGUAAUGCACACCCCGAUCUGAGUGACAGAUGGGAGAUGGAAGAAAGUAGCUUUGGACUCCAAGGACUAUGACCAUCACUGGCUCCUCAAGAAAAGUGUCCCUGGCAGCUUGAGCAGGCUCCACCUCCCAGCUAACGCAAGCCUGCCUUGCUCUAAUGACAGAUUGGAUGGCUAACAAGAGAGGGCAGGAUGCUCACCUGAGCCCAGUGGGGACAGACCCCAGGACUGCUGGGGGCAUCUUUCUCUGCAUGCCGCCCAACGAGGGCCAGCUCCUGUGACAGCCAAAUGUCCCCGCAUUCCCAGCACGGGACGCCUGCUUAGCUUCCUCUGAACGUUUUGGAGGCGGCGAGUCUCUGACAAUCACUAUGGGAUCUCCAGCAGUCAGUACCCAAUCUCCCCGACUUCCACGUCCACAGUCCAGGCCAGAGGUCAGACUUCAGGCCAGGAUAGCUGUCACCCUGUUAGCAUCCUCAGCCUGCUGGGACGAGCCCUGUCACCCAGGCAAGGAUUUAUCAGGUGCUCGCUGCUCAGCAGCUGUCAGGGUUGCUGGAGGGCCUCAUCAGUUCUUCAGUCUGGAAACCAGAAGUCUCUGGAAGCACAUUCAGAUUCCUUCUGCUAAAGGCAGUAAAGGGAGUGGCAUGUCACAUGAUCUCCCGGGGGGGCGCUGCUCACCCAGCCUCUUCAUUCCCUACAGAGUGGUGCCAGGAGGGUGCACCCCCCACCCCCGGGUGAGCAGGGGCCUUCACUCCUGAUGGGAGGUUAUUGUGACCAGCAUUUGCCUAAAACCUUACUGUGGACAAAGCAUUCUCAUGUUUCUCAUCUGACCCUCCUAACAGCCUCUUUUAUCAAAGAAAUUGACUCGGGAAAGUUGUGGUUUGCUCAAGGCGACACAGCUGUUAAAUCACAGGGCAGGGCCUUGAACCCAAGUCCCGGCAGCGACACCCCUGCCAACCCCCACCUUGACUCUUGAAAGAUGCGGCGAGGCCAAUCCAAUGACAAACCUUUUUUUUUUUCUCUUAUUACAAAAGCACAUGCACUCAUUGUAACCCACUGGAACAUUAAAGAGAUACGCAAUGUGAAAAAUAAAAGCCCCGCAGAAUUUCCUGCUCCAGAUAAAUGCACUGUUUGCUAAUAUAUCUUCCUCCAGAGUCUUUCCAGGGCUAUCACGAACACGCCUGAGCGUAGUGCCUGACACAGAGUACGUGCUCAAUAAAUGCUUGUUGAAUGAA